AAUUCGGCUGGGUUUGAAGCGUAGCUGCUCAAGCGAUGCCUGAGGUAAAAGUUUUAAUAUUUAAAGUGGACCCUUUCACAGCAACAGUGGUGUGAUUGGCUGGUUUGUGUGACGUCACCUACAACUGCAAACAACGCUGUCUGAUUAACCCCGCCGUAAUCGCGGGAAAUAUACUUUGAUCUAUUUUUAUGUUUCUUAAGUGUAAUGCUAUUGCAUUGCUGUUUGACAGUAGUGAAAUCAACCGUAAACUAGCUCAUAUGCUAGUGGAAACAUCAUAUAAGUAUAACUGCAGCAGAAGUUUAUUCUUCCUGCCGCUCUCAGAGUAGCACUUCCAUUGUCAAAAGCAAUCCUCAGCCAGAAGCUAUAUUUUCUUGAAAAACGACUCUUGGAUAUCACCUUGUCUUGGGAAACAGCAGAUCACCACCCUCCAGCUAACAACAACUCUCCAUCAAUCAAGGCCUCAACGAAAAAGACCACCUUCAGCAUUCACUCCGCAUUACUCCCGGCAGAGACAGGUGUCUUGUCCUACUAACACCCCACUCGCGGCCUGCACCUUGAUGUGGUUGACAGGCCUCAAUGGACAGUGAGACGGUGAUCUACCUUUGGACUGGCACCGACCAGACAUGGACACUGAAACUUGAUUUCUCUUAAUGAAUAUCUUUACAAGAUGCAACACACAUUGUGGAACACUUUAGACACUAAUAA
Molecule: long non-coding RNA, 705 nt
Organism: Alosa sapidissima (American shad)
Lineage: Eukaryota; Metazoa; Chordata; Actinopteri; Clupeiformes; Clupeidae
Exons: 3
Source: RefSeq, a predicted model, not a curated record